RNAcentral lists this ribosomal RNA (634 nucleotides) under Salmonella enterica. RNAcentral describes it as "partial 23S ribosomal RNA". It matches the Rfam family "Bacterial large subunit ribosomal RNA", at positions 1 to 668 of the family's 2925-position model. RNAcentral also lists the same sequence under 1 other name. The record is from RNAcentral. Lineage: Bacteria; Pseudomonadati; Pseudomonadota; Gammaproteobacteria; Enterobacterales; Enterobacteriaceae.
GGGUUGUGAGGUUAAGCGACUAAGCGUACACGGUGGAUGCCCUGGCAGUCAGAGGCGAUGAAGGGCGUGCUAAUCUGCGAUAAGCGCCGGUAAGGUGAUAUGAACCGUUAUAACCGGCGAUACCCGAAUGGGGAAACCCAGUGUGACUCGUCACACUAUCAUUAACUGAAUCCAUAGGUUAAUGAGGCGAACCGGGGGAACUGAAACAUCUAAGUACCCCGAGGAAAAGAAAUCAACCGAGAUUCCCCCAGUAGCGGCGAGCGAACGGGGAGGAGCCCAGAGCCUGAAUCAGCAUGUGUGUUAGUGGAAGCGUCUGGAAAGGCGCGCGAUACAGGGUGACAGCCCCGUACACAAAAGCGCAUGUGCUGUGAGCUCGAUGAGUAGGGCGGGACACGUGGUAUCCUGUCUGAAUAUGGGGGGACCAUCCUCCAAGGCUAAAUACUCCUGACUGACCGAUAGUGAACCAGUACCGUGAGGGAAAGGCGAAAAGAACCCCGGCGAGGGGAGUGAAAAAGAACCUGAAACCGUGUACGUACAAGCAGUGGGAGCACCCUUCGGGGUGUGACUGCGUACCUUUUGUAUAAUGGGUCAGCGACUUAUAUUCUGUAGCAAGGUUAACCGUAUAGGGGAGCCG